RNAcentral lists this long non-coding RNA (354 nucleotides) under Setaria viridis. Its description in RNAcentral is "long non-coding RNA (SVIR_LNC001714)". The record is from RNAcentral. Lineage: Eukaryota; Viridiplantae; Streptophyta; Magnoliopsida; Poales; Poaceae.
UUGCAACCUAUUUAAAGGAUCACGUGCAUAGUAAGAAGGAACAAAUCUAGCUUGCAUGACCCGUUUCAAAGCAUCCCAUGUUUGUGGCAUGUUAUUAGGAUUUUUCUUGCCAUCUUCUAUCCACCAAACAGAAGCAAAAUCAGUGAACUCACUAGUAGCAGCCCUAACACGUGUAUUUUCAGGAAACUCAUGACAUGCAAACUUUUGAUCAACAGCAAUUUCCCAAGUAAUAUACGCAUCAGGGUCAUAUUUACCAUCAAAAGGAGGUAUAUUAAAUUUUAUCUUACUGAAAGCAUCAUCAUUAUUAUGUACCUCGCGUCGUCCGUAACCCCCCAUACCUCUGCGAUUAUUGCG